This 465-nucleotide ribosomal RNA is filed under the name Vreelandella stevensii. RNAcentral's name for it is "partial 16S ribosomal RNA". It matches the Rfam family "Bacterial small subunit ribosomal RNA", at positions 338 to 795 of the family's 1533-position model. The record is from RNAcentral. Lineage: Bacteria; Pseudomonadati; Pseudomonadota; Gammaproteobacteria; Oceanospirillales; Halomonadaceae.
CCUACGGGCGGCUGCAGUGGGGAAUAUUGGACAAUGGGGGGAACCCUGAUCCAGCCAUGCCGCGUGUGUGAAGAAGGCCCUCGGGUUGUAAAGCACUUUCAGUGAGGAAGAACGCCUGGUGGUUAAUACCCAUCAGGAAAGACAUCACUCACAGAAGAAGCACCGGCUAACUCCGUGCCAGCAGCCGCGGUAAUACGGAGGGUGCGAGCGUUAAUCGGAAUUACUGGGCGUAAAGCGCGCGUAGGUGGCUUGAUAAGCCGGUUGUGAAAGCCCCGGGCUCAACCUGGGAACGGCAUCCGGAACUGUCAAGCUAGAGUGCAGGCGAGGAAGGUAGAAUUCCCGGUGUAGCGGUGAAAUGCGUAGAGAUCGGGAGGAAUACCAGUGGCGAAGGCGGCCUUCUGGACUGACACUGACACUGAGGUGCGAAAGCGUGGGUAGCAAACAGGAUUAGAUACCCUUGUAGUC